ACCGAAAGGAACUGUUUGGGGAAAGAG
This 27-nucleotide non-coding RNA is filed under the name Cricetulus griseus (Chinese hamster). The record is from RNAcentral. Lineage: Eukaryota; Metazoa; Chordata; Mammalia; Rodentia; Cricetidae.